Molecule: ribosomal RNA, 253 nt
Filed under: uncultured bacterium
Lineage: Bacteria
Description: partial 16S ribosomal RNA
Rfam family: Bacterial small subunit ribosomal RNA
Source: RNAcentral
GACGAAGGGGGCUAGCGUUGCUCGGAAUCACUGGGCGUAAAGCGCACGUAGGCGGAUUGUUAAGUCAGGGGUGAAAUCCUGGAGCUCAACUCCAGAACUGCCUUUGAUACUGGCGAUCUUGGGUCCGGGAGAGGUGAGUGGAACUGCGAGUGUAGAGGUGAAAUUCGUAGAUAUUCGCAAGAACACCAGUGGCGAAGGCGGCUCACUGGCCCGGUACUGACGCUGAGGUGCGAAAGCGUGGGGAGCAAACAGG